UAUCUCUGUAGAGUCUGCAUAUCAAUAAGCGGAGGAAAAGAAACUAACAAGGAUUCCCCUAGUAACGGCGAGUGAAGCGGGAAGAGCUCAAAUUUGAAAUCUUAAAGGUUUCCCUUGACGAAUUGUAGUUUAAAGAAGUGUUUUCGGUUAGAGGAGUCUCGUAAAAGUUCUUUGGAAUAGGACAUCAUAGAGGGUGAGAAUCCCGUAUUUGACCGUUAUCUUUCUAGCUGUGUGAUACACUUUCAAAGAGUCGGAUUGUUUGGGAAUGCAGUCCAAAAUGGGUGGUAAAUUUCAUCUAAAGCUAAAUAUUGGCGAGAGACCGAUAGCGAACAAGUACCGUGAGGGAAAGAUGAAAAGAACUUUGAAAAGAGAGUUAAACAGGUACGUGAAAUUGUCAAAAGGGAAGCGUUUGACACCAGUGUUGUUUUCCUCGAAAAUCAAUUAAAAAAGGACUGGAUUUUGUGUUGUAUUGACUUUAUCAGCUUUCUGCACUCUUUUCUUGUCUUUUUUAAUGCACUUCUCGUUUAACAAGUCAACAUCAAUUUCUUUUGUUGUAAAAGGGUCAUUGGAAGGUGGCUUUCCUUUCGGAGAAAGUGUUUAUAGCCUUUGGCCUCUGCAAUCGGAGAGAUUGAGGUCUGCAGCGUAGAUCCUUCGGGGUUAGAUACAUUUGUGCUAAGUUGUAGCCUUUCAUAGACAACUUGUUGACUAUGAUCAGUCAUGUAGCUUACUCGCUUAUGCUAUUUUACCUACGCUUAGGAUGUUGAUCUACAGAGCGAGAGU
RNAcentral lists this ribosomal RNA (780 nucleotides) under uncultured Neocallimastigales. RNAcentral's name for it is "partial large subunit ribosomal RNA". It matches the Rfam family "Eukaryotic large subunit ribosomal RNA", at positions 24 to 631 of the family's 3401-position model. Lineage: Eukaryota; Fungi; Neocallimastigomycota; Neocallimastigomycetes; Neocallimastigales. The record is from RNAcentral.